This 362-nucleotide unclassified non-coding RNA is filed under the name uncultured Actinomycetes bacterium. Its description in RNAcentral is "uncultured actinobacterium contains 16S-23S intergenic spacer region". The record is from RNAcentral. Lineage: Bacteria; Bacillati; Actinomycetota; Actinomycetes.
UCCGGGUUGGUCCCGGCGGUCCGGCCAGACGUGGUAACUGGCCGCGGGGGUUGCGCUCGUUGCGGGACUUAACCCAACACCUUACCUGGGUUUGACAUAUACCGGAAAGCCGUAGAGAUACGGCCCCAAAGGGGAAACCACAUUUCUGCGGCGGUCCGGUCCAUGUCAAGCCUUGGUAAGGUUCUUCGCGUUGCAUCGAAUUAAUCCGCAUGCUCCGCCGCUUGUGCGGGCCCCCGUCAAUUCCUUUGAGUUUUAGCCUUGCGGCCGUACUCCCCAGGCGGGGCGCUUAAUGCGUUAGCUACGGCACGGAUCCCGUGGAAGGAAACCCACACCUAGCGCCCACCGUUUACGGCGUGGACUAC